CGACAUCGAGUCAAUCUGCUAUUUUUCGUGAUUAUUAUAUAUAAAAAUAUAUUUGACUACAAUAUUAGUAUUAGUUGCAAUAAAAUACUAAGCUGCAGAUUUAAGUGACGGUUCCUUCCAAAAUGGAAAUCGGGGACAGCAAUUCAUCAGAUGCGCCGGCGAACAAAAAACAAAAAAUUUCGGAUGUUUGGAAGCAUUUCCAACUAAAUGGACCACCUUAAGCGUGCUCAUCCUCUGCACGCCGAGCAGGCGAAGCCCGGCAGCACAUUUUUUUAAAAACGAUGACAUCUACGGCAAUAAUUCCACGCGGAAAGCAGACAUUGAUUUGGCGUUGGCAAGAAUGAUUGCUAUAGAAGUUAAUGCUGCCCACCAAUAAUAUCAACACGCACCUUUGCUGCUGGCAAAAAUUGAAUUCUCUUUAUUCAACAAAUUUACUUAGUUUUUAUAAUCAAAUUUUGCUUACUUACUAAAAACUUACAUAUGUAUGUACGAGUUCUUACUAGCUAGAACUUAUUUCUAGACAUCAAAUAAUCAUAAUGUAAGCUAAAACCAGUGCGAA
Bactrocera neohumeralis is the source of this 559-nucleotide long non-coding RNA. RefSeq lists it as uncharacterized. The record is from RefSeq and is a predicted model, not a curated record. Lineage: Eukaryota; Metazoa; Arthropoda; Insecta; Diptera; Tephritidae. The transcript is spliced from 2 exons.